UACGUAGGGGGCAAGCGUUGUCCGGAUUUAUUGGGCGUAAAGAGCGUGUAGGCGGCUAGAUAAGUCCGGUGUGAAAGUCACAGGCUCAACCUGUGAAUGCCGCUGGAAACUGUCUGGCUAGAGUCCGGAAGGGGCGAGUGGAAUUCCUGGUGUAGCGGUGAAAUGCGCAGAUAUCAGGAGGAACACCAAUGGCGAAGGCAGCUCGCUGGGACGGUACUGACGCUGAGGCGCGAAAGCGUGGGGAGCAAACAGG
This 253-nucleotide ribosomal RNA is filed under the name uncultured bacterium. Its description in RNAcentral is "partial 16S ribosomal RNA". It matches the Rfam family "Bacterial small subunit ribosomal RNA", at positions 524 to 776 of the family's 1533-position model. The record is from RNAcentral.